RNAcentral lists this ribosomal RNA (254 nucleotides) under uncultured bacterium. RNAcentral's name for it is "partial 16S ribosomal RNA". It matches the Rfam family "Bacterial small subunit ribosomal RNA", at positions 524 to 776 of the family's 1533-position model. The record is from RNAcentral.
UACGGAGGGUGCGAGCGUUGUCCGGAAUCAUUGGGCGUAAAGGGCGCGUAGGUGGCCCGGUCAGUUCGUGGUGAAAGCGCGGGGCUCAACCCUGCGUCGGCCAUGAAUACUGCCGCGGCUGGAGCACUGUAGAGGCAGGCGGAAUUCCGGGUGUAGCGGUGGAAUGCGUAGAGAUCCGGAAGAACACCGGUGGCGAAGGCGGCCUGCUGGGCAGUUGCUGACACUGAAAAGCGAAAGCCAGGGGAGCAAACGGG